GAGGAAUAUUGGUCAAUGGGCGAGAGCCUGAACCAGCCAAGUCGCGUGAAGGAUGACUGUCUUAUGGAUUGUAAACUUCUUUUAUACGGGAACAACAAGAGCCACGUGUGGCUCCCUGCAUGUACCGUAUGAAUAAGCAUCGGCUAACUCCGUGCCAGCAGCCGCGGUAAUACGGAGGAUGCGAGCGUUAUCCGGAUUUAUUGGGUUUAAAGGGUGCGUAGGCGGCCUGUUAAGUCAGCGGUGAAAUCUAGGAGCUUAACUCCUAAAUUGCCAUUGAUACUGGCGGGCUUGAGUGUAGAUGAGGUAGGCGGAAUGCGUGGUGUAGCGGUGGAAUGCAUAGAUAUCACGCAGAACUCCGAUUGCGAAGGCAGCUUACUAAGGUACAACUGACGCUGAAGCACGAAAGCGUGGGUAUCAAACAGGAUUAGAUACCCUGGUAGUCCACGCAGUAAACGAUGAUAACUGGGCGUAUGCGAUAUACAGUAUGCUCCUAAGCGAAAGCGUUAAGUUAUCCACCUGGGGAGUACGCCGGCAACGGUG
Molecule: ribosomal RNA, 540 nt
Filed under: uncultured bacterium
Lineage: Bacteria
Description: bacterial SSU rRNA
Rfam family: Bacterial small subunit ribosomal RNA
Source: RNAcentral